AUGCCUUAAACUUAUGAGUAAGGAAAAUAACGAUUCAGGUGACGUCCAAAUCCUCAUUGCUAAUGUGAGAUGAAUUUUUGAGCAGGUAAAGGUCUCCCCUAAGGUGACCCACCUACUUUGCAGGAUGCCUGGAACCUUCCAUCUGCCCG
This 149-nucleotide small nuclear RNA is filed under the name Erinaceus europaeus (western European hedgehog). RNAcentral describes it as "U12 minor spliceosomal RNA". It matches the Rfam family "U12 minor spliceosomal RNA". From Rfam's summary of the family: Although the U12 sequence is very divergent from that of U2, the two are functionally analogous. The record is from Rfam by way of RNAcentral. Lineage: Eukaryota; Metazoa; Chordata; Mammalia; Eulipotyphla; Erinaceidae.